This 500-nucleotide ribosomal RNA is filed under the name uncultured bacterium. RNAcentral's name for it is "partial 16S ribosomal RNA". It matches the Rfam family "Bacterial small subunit ribosomal RNA", at positions 30 to 523 of the family's 1533-position model. The record is from RNAcentral.
AUUGAACGCUGGCGGAAUGCUUUACACAUGCAAGUCGAACGGCAGCACGGGGGCAACCCUGUUGGCGAGUGGCGAACGGGUGAGUAAUGAAUCGGAACGUGCCCAGUCGUGGGGGAUAACGUAGUGAAAAUUACGCUAAUACCGCAUACGAUCUACGGAAGAAAGCGGGGGAUCGCAAGACCUCGCGCGAUUGGAGCGGCCGAUAUCAGAUUAGGUAGUUGGUGGGGUAAAGGCUCACCAAGCCAACGAUCUGUAGCUGGUCUGAGAGGACGACCAGGCACACUGGAACUGAGACACGGUCCAGACUCCUACGGGAGGCAGCAGUGGGGAAUUUUGGACAAUGGGCGAAAGCCUGAUCCAGCCAUUCCGCGUGCAGGAUGAAGGCCUUCGGGUUGUAAACUGCUUUUGUACGGAGCGAAAAGGCUCUCUCUAAUACAGGGGGCUAAUGACGGUACCGUAAGAAUAAGCACCGGCUAACUACGUGCCAGCCGCCGCGGUAA